AUGGAAUGGGGGCGGGGAAGCUGCCGCGCACGCAGGCACCUCCAUGGACUUAGAAUGACUACCGGGUCUUUAUUCACAGACAGUAAACGUGAGCCAAGGGCCCACCUUAGAAGCGCUCGGAAGGCUGCGGUGCCGGCGGGACGGCCCGGCACCCAGCGGCCCCACGUCCCCAGCCACUCAGGGCCGCACCUGCUGGGGCCCCAGGGUCAAGCUGCCUCCUUAGCAAAGCACGCAGCUGCCCUGCUCCGAGAGCUUCCCUCGGGCCAGGGCCGCGGCCAAGCCCACCCUGGGUGCAGAGGGGAGCCCCUCGCCCAGGCGUGCCGGCUGCGGCCUGAGGUCUCGGUAACCACACAGCUGGGUCCAGGGGGCCUCAGUGAACUGCACACUCCCCUCCCCACCCCCACCCCCGAAACUCUCCUGCGGUUUGAACUCCCGGUCCCACCCGGGCCUCACACCUGUCGCACUUCCUUUCCCAUCAAGCUCUGCAGGUGGGGCCCUGCGGUUUCUCUGCCGACUUCCUCUCCCCCUCAGAAACUAGGGCUCUGGGGAGGUGCAGGGGCACGAGGCUCCCCUGGCUCCCCUGGCUGUGACAUUCGAGGCCGGUGCCACCUGGCCUCCGCCCCCGGCAGGGUCCAGCCACUGACGUACCCUGCCUGGAGGGCCAGCACCCCCACACCCUGGCCCCCAGGGCACCCUCUGCGCACUCCCGUGGGCCCUGGCGGGGGGCUGCGGCUCUCAGGGACAGUGCAUGUCUGUGUGCUGUGGGUGGAAUCAGCCCCCGGCACCCCUCAGCGCCCCCACAAAUGGCCACCCGGUGGCCUGGCCCUGGCCCAACCCUGCCAGCAACUCAGCUCGGGGGUGUGGGUCAGUGCAUCUGGAAGACACCCCGUUACUAGGGCCCCGCCUCGGGGGACCCCUUCCCUGGACCGGGUGCCACAGGGGGUGCACUUGGGUCUUAGACUCAAGCCCUGCGCUCAGACCCCGGUUCUGCCAUUGGCCGGGGCCUGGACUUGA
Molecule: long non-coding RNA, 1014 nt
Filed under: Oryctolagus cuniculus (rabbit)
Lineage: Eukaryota; Metazoa; Chordata; Mammalia; Lagomorpha; Leporidae
Description: lncRNA (ENSOCUG00000031483.1)
Source: RNAcentral